AUGGUGCAGCGGGGAGAAACGCCUCCAUCUCGGCACGGGGCGCUGUGCCUCCUGCUUUUAACUGUCAAAGUGGAUAUUGUCGCCAUCAAUACCCCCCCCCCAUUGACCUCAACUACAUGGUCUACAUGUUCUAGUAUGAUUCCACCCUUGGCAAGUUCUGUGGCACAGUCAAGUCAGAGAACGGGAAGCUUGUCACCAGUGGGAAGGCCAUCACAGCUUCCAGGAGUGAGAUCCGCCCACAUCAAAUGGGAUAACGCUGGUGCUGAGUAUAUUGUGGAGUCCACUGGUGUCUUCGGUACCUUGGAGAAGGCUGGGGCUCACUUGAAGGGUGGAGCCAAACGUGUCAUCACUUCUGUCCCUGCUGCUGACACCCCCAUGUCCAUGAUGGGUGUGAACCAUGAGACCUAUGAAAACACCCACACGAUCGAUCGUCAGUAAUGCCUCCUACUCUGGCAAUUGCUUAGCCCCCUGGCAAGGUCAUCCACGACAGCUUUGACAUUGUUGAGGGACCCAUGACCACAGUCCAUGCCAUCACUGCCACCCAGAAGACCGUGGGUGGCUUGUCUGGUAAACUGUAGCGUGAUGGCCGUGGGGCUCUGCAGAACAUCAUCCCUGCAUUUACUGGCACUGACAAGGCUGUGGGCAAGGUCAUCCCUCAACUGAAUGGGAAGCUCACUGGCACGGCCUUCCAUGUCCUCACUGCCAACGUGUUGGUUGUGGGUCUGACCUGCCAUCUGGAGAAAGCUGCCAAAUAUUAAGACAUCAAGAAGGUGGUGAAGAAGGCAUCGGAGGUCCCCCUAAAAGGCAUCCUGGGCUACACUGAGGGCCAGGUUGUCUCCACUGACUUUAAGAGUGACGUGCACUCUUCCACUUUCAAUGCUGGGGCUGGAAUUGCCCUCAAUGAUCACUUUGUCAAGCUCAUUUCCUGGUAUGACAAUGAAUAUGGCUACAGCAACAGGGUGGUGGGCCUUAUGGUCCACAUGGCCUCCAAGGAGUGAGAGCCCCCAGGACCACC
RNA transcript from Galeopterus variegatus (Sunda flying lemur), 1015 nucleotides. It is a transcript of the gene named glyceraldehyde-3-phosphate dehydrogenase-like, with no coding region annotated. The record is from RefSeq and is a predicted model, not a curated record. The transcript is spliced from 2 exons. Lineage: Eukaryota; Metazoa; Chordata; Mammalia; Dermoptera; Cynocephalidae.